CACAAUGUGUGUAUGGGACAUGUAUGUUCCCAUUUCCACUGUAUUACUGUCAGUACUGUAUUAGCUUGUUUCUGACCACAAGUAACUCAUUCUGUCGGUCCACCAGUCAGCUUUUCUGAACACUCUACACUCCAGAAAGUCUGUAGCUGAAUUGGAAUCAUUUUCUUAUGAGAAUAAUAGUACUGGAUUCUGAAACUACAUAACCACCCCCCUUUGAAAGUUUGUUGUUCAUGCCAGGUAUAUUGCACUGGAUAUCCGCUAAUUUCUUAUUAAUUUAGUUUGACAUAGGUGUUCUGUCUACCCUGAACAAGAACCUGCAGGUUGCACAUUUCUGUGUGAUCUCGACUGUCCAAGUAAGACAACAGUUUCUUUUCUUUUAUAUGUAUAUCCUGACAUUACUGCUUUUUCUCUUUAGUCUAACUUUGACUUUGGUAAGCAGCUUAGCUUCCAAGCUUUUAGAGAGGGAACUUUGUUGUUAUAAGCGCAGUAGAAAGACCUGUGAGCCUGAACAAAGUUUUUUAAAAAUGUGUUGUCAUUUAUUAAUGGUUUUGUUCAAUAGCAGCUGUAUUCCAGCAAUCAGUUGAUACUGCAGUUCUUCCACGAGGUAGCAGGAGUUUGCAGGGAAAUUUCUGGGAUAAGUGUUAAUAUGACACAUUAUUGUAAGAUUCUUGUAAGACAGUAAAAUGUCACAAGGUGGCGCUGUUCACAGCAGGUGUGUUCCACAGUCUUGAACCAUCUAAAACUAAAUUAAUAUGAGCAGUUCAGAGAAAAAAAAAUCUAAAUGAUCCCAAGUAUUUAUUAAAUAAUGGCUCCAAAUUCAAAUUGAUAGUGAUUUGGAACUACUACUGAAAAUUCCUCCAAAGUGUGAAGGAAGGAAGAGCAAUCUCUUACCCAUUUUGUAGCUUUUGCCGAUAUGUCACUAUAACCAAGGAGGUUUGUAAGCGUCUUAUACAUACCAAUCUUAUGUUGUAGACAUCAACAUAUCUGUAAAAUACAUUUGAGAUUUGUUGGUGUUCAAAAGCAUUGCUAGUACGUAUACUUUCUGCUUAUCACUGUUUUUAAACAGCGUUUGCCAGUUAAACAUAGCGCUUGGUUGUAUAACACGUGGAAUAGCUUGUAUAUCACAAAUACUGGUGCUUGGCUGGUUUACAGGGUUAAAAUGUCUGCCUCCUGCAGGACCGGUAUAUUCACUGGGUGUUGUUUCAGAAAACAACCCUGGACAGCAGCUAUUUUCUUCAACUCUGGCUUACGCCCACAUUAGCCUGCAACGAAUGCCUUCAUUAAAGAUGUAUUCUGCUGACAAACAAAAACAAUAAACAGGCAUGUUCAGUUGGGCUAUCAGUUUAGUUACAAGCUGCACAAAUACUAGUACUAAAACACACCUUUGAUGUUUGCAACUCAGGAGGCUUACAGGAGGUACACUAGAAAAGUACAAGGACCCAUCACUUUCUCCUGGUUCAAUGAAGGAACCAAAGUUUCAUUUUCACUGUUGGCACCGCCGCAGGUAACACCCAAUGACACGUAUAUUUCAGGUCUCAAAAUUCUGCACACUUUCAGUAUCAAACACAAGUACAACAGCAGCAGCAAGAGCAGUGGCAGGAGCAGCAGGAGCAGCAGGAGCAGCAGCAACCAUGCAUCCAGAGCAUCCAGUCCUCUCUACGAAAAUACUUCUCAAUUUUUUGAAAACAUCAGGAGGAGCUACGGCCAUGAUUAUAUUAUUCAUCAUGUUCCAGUACAUUUUCAAACUGGAUUUUGUAUGUCCCUGUGACCUUCGCUAUAACAGACAUCUCUGUGGAGUUUAUGUGUUUCUACCGUUCGUCAUAGUGACUGUGACUGUGAUGCUGAUAGACCCUCAUUGUACGUGGGAAUGCAAACUAAAUGGAUGCAGGACACGCAUGCCACACUGCUCCUCAAUAGUCAAAAGUCUACUCCUAGGCUCGGUGUGGGUAAUUACUGCCUUCAUUGAUGGAGAUGUAGUAGUGUGUUUAUUCGCCACUAACAUGACGGCUGGGCAGCAGGAUGCAUGCGGAGAGGUGACCAGCCAGAGCCCUGAACAGCAAAGGACCAUCAACUACUAUAUGAACGUAUCUCGGAUAUUAGGCCUCGGUGUCAUAUUGAUUAUGUCACUCCUAUGCGCUUGCUGUAAUUUUUGGUGCAGGAAACCAUACCAUGACUCUCUGCGCAAAAAGUACAAA
This is a long non-coding RNA of Anguilla rostrata (American eel), 2195 nucleotides long. RefSeq lists it as uncharacterized. The transcript is spliced from 2 exons. The record is from RefSeq and is a predicted model, not a curated record. Lineage: Eukaryota; Metazoa; Chordata; Actinopteri; Anguilliformes; Anguillidae.